UAAUCGCAAAAUAUAUAUUAUCUAUUAGUUUAAAGAAGAAGAUAAGCGUUAAUAAAUUGGUCAAUAUGAAAAACACAUAUCACAAUGUAUAUCAAAAGUUGAGUAUAAAGAAGUAAAUUUAAAGUACAACAAAGGUAAAACAAAAAAGUAAAUAUAUAUCUAUUGGUAAUAUUAUAUUACGAUCAUCUACAUCAAAUGUACACCAAAAUUAGAUAAAAAUAACAUGUAGUUUGAUAAUAUGCUCAAGAGAAGUAAAAACAAAUACAGCAUAACAUCAAAACUUUAAUGAAUGUUAUGACUAAAGCUAAGAUAUUAAAAAAAUAGUGAAAUAAUUAAACAACAAUCACAAAUGAAUAUGAAUAUUAUGAACCAAGAGAAGUAAGAAAAAUUAUAUUGUAAGAGUAACACUUCAAUGAAGGAGAAAUAGUUAGUGACAUAAGACAAAAAAUAGGAAAACAAAAUGAACUUAUAAUAGGUCAUACUUCCAUGAAGGUUAUCACUGAAGGUAAGAUAUAUAAAAAAAACAAUGGAAGCAUUAAACAAUAAACAGAAACGAAGAUGAAUAUCAUGAACCAAAAAACCCUAAACCAAAUAUGAAGAUAACCAAAUAUAAAGAAAAACUAAAAAUACAAACAUGAAGAAGAACACAAUGCAUAUAAUAAAGAAAAAAAUGAAAUGGGAGGGGGAAAAUGACAUUCCAAACGCAUAAAGAGAAAAUCAAGUAAGACAAAAUGAAAGAAAUGUAGAAAGGAAAAUGAUAUGUUAUAGGUAUGUGUUAUACACAUCACAUAACAACAAUCAAGAAAAGUUCCACAUUUUGUUAGAGAAACGAAGCAAAAAACGAAUGUGAAAAUAAAUUAGAGAAACGAAGAGACAUGUAACGAAACAGUAAGUGGAAUAAUUGCUAGAAAAAAUAAAGAAAGUCAUUUUGUAAAUCAUUCCUUCAUCUAGAUUUCAAGUGAAAUUCAAAAGUGGUUUAUUUGUGAUUUAUAAAUGCUAUUGAAGGUGAGCCAUGAUUUAAUUAUUUUAGGAAGUUAAAACAUCAGCUAUAAUUUUGUUGGUCAUGAUUUAUGUUGGCCAUUAUUUCAAUUUAAUGGCAUCAGUAAUAAAUAUAAGGAUAUAUAAUAAUUAGAUAUAUAAAAACAAAUGGUGAAGGGGAUUGUCGUGUUAUCAGAUGUGUGGGUAUGUAUAGGAAGGGAUAGAGAGCUUUUGGAGGGGGAAAUUUUAUUAAGGUAAUGACACAUGUCAUAGCUGAU
This 1256-nucleotide long non-coding RNA is filed under the name Lupinus angustifolius (narrow-leaved blue lupine). Its description in RNAcentral is "long non-coding RNA (LANG_LNC001387)". The record is from RNAcentral. Lineage: Eukaryota; Viridiplantae; Streptophyta; Magnoliopsida; Fabales; Fabaceae.